CAGUAAGUAGUUUAAAUAAAAAUGUUAAUUUUGGGGAUUAAUGAUAAGUCUUACUUUUUACUGA
RNAcentral lists this transfer RNA (64 nucleotides) under Scoparipes salvazai. RNAcentral's name for it is "tRNA-Pro". The record is from RNAcentral. Lineage: Eukaryota; Metazoa; Arthropoda; Insecta; Hemiptera; Cydnidae.